Molecule: long non-coding RNA, 223 nt
Filed under: Elaeis guineensis (African oil palm)
Lineage: Eukaryota; Viridiplantae; Streptophyta; Magnoliopsida; Arecales; Arecaceae
Description: long non-coding RNA (EGUI_LNC001910)
Source: RNAcentral
CUUUGCGGAGCGUGGCGGGGAAGCCGAUGCAAAGGAGAGCGUCGGUUGCCUCUUGAAUCGUCAUGAGAGCUUUGUAGCUCUCCAGGUGGUCGAUUGGGUCGGUGGAGCUGUCAUAGGGCUCCACGUGCGGCAUCUUGAACCGACUGGGGAUCGGUUCGUCGAGGAUGAGUCGGGAGAGAGGUUGGGCGGUCUGGAAGUCGACAUCGUUUGAAGACUUCUGCCC